This 389-nucleotide ribosomal RNA is filed under the name Azadinium sp. RNAcentral's name for it is "partial small subunit ribosomal RNA". It matches the Rfam family "Eukaryotic small subunit ribosomal RNA", at positions 582 to 975 of the family's 1831-position model. Lineage: Eukaryota; Dinophyceae; Gonyaulacales; Amphidomataceae. The record is from RNAcentral.
AUUCCAGCUCCAAUAGCGUAUAUUAAAGUUGUUGCGGUUAAAAAGCUCGUAGUUGGAUUUCUGCCGAGGACGACCGGUCCGCCCUCUGGGUGAGCAUCUGGCUCGGCCUGGGCAUCCUCUUGGAGAACGUAGCUGCACUUGACUGUGUGGGGCGGUAUCCAGGACUUUUACUUUGAGGAAAUUAGAGUGUUUCAAGCAGGCAUACGCCUUGAAUACAUUAGCAUGGAAUAAUAAGAUAGGACCUCGGUUCUAUUUUGUUGGUUUCUAGAGCUGAGGUAAUGAUUAGUAGGGACAGUUGGGGACAUUUAUAUUCCAUGGCUAGAGGUGAAAUUCUUGGAUUCAUGGAAGAUAAACUACUGCGAAAGCAUUUGUCAAAGAUGUUUUCAUUA